UCCCCGACGGUUUCCUUUCUCCUCCUAUUUCUCUCUCGAUUCUUCUCUUCAGCCACAGAUCCCUUCUUCUCCUCCUUUCCUUCUUCUUCCUCUUCUCUCUCAUGGACAAAAAGGGGCAGCCAAGGAGUCUCGUUUCUUCUCUUCGCCUCUGCCCCGAUUCCACUCCUUUGCCCUUGUCGAUUUUUCCCCCUCUCCUGGUCUCGAUCAACAAGAGCUCGCCGGGAGACCAAGCAUCAAGUCGUGCCCUAGGCUCAGCCCACCUCUCCUCUGUCUUACCUGUGCCCUAAUCUCUGCUCCGCUGCCCAGUCGAGAACCAGCGCCAGGACCUCUCGUCGGCACAACCCACUGAUCGACCACCUGAUUCGACCCCGACCACUGUGUCCUAAUUCCUCACCGCCAUUCCUUCGUCGAAGCAGAAUCAGCGAUGGUGUCGCUAGCCACCGCAAAGGAGUUGGCAUCGCAGCCACCUAGGGCCGACCAUCACCCUUUUCCCUUCCUCUCUGCCCUAGCCGUCUCCACACGAUCGCCUGACUUCCUUUGUCUCUGCGUGCCACUGCCGAUCCAUCGUCGGUGUUCCCGUGCCCUAGCAGCGAUCCUCAAGGAGGAAGAUCUUGGAUCAGUUCUUGUUGUUUCCCCUAAUCGGAGCUUGGACUCCUUCCUUGCGGAGGAAAUUUAGGUCACGGUUGAGUAGCAGAGCUUUGAACUCCAGCAGGUAUUCUUGCUUCCAGCAGUUACUCACCUCGUGUCCGGCAAUGAGCAACCGCUAAUUGUGCAGCAACCCUUCGUCCAGCAGCACUUUAUCAAACAGCAACCCUUGAGUUCCAGCAGCGGCUGAAUUAAGGUACCAGGUUGUUAUGGAGUCGCUUGGAGUAUCCUACCUGUCGGUCCCCACGUCACAUCAGAA
This is a long non-coding RNA of Zingiber officinale, 904 nucleotides long. RefSeq lists it as uncharacterized. The transcript is spliced from 4 exons. Lineage: Eukaryota; Viridiplantae; Streptophyta; Magnoliopsida; Zingiberales; Zingiberaceae. The record is from RefSeq and is a predicted model, not a curated record.